GACGAACGCUGGCGGCGUGCUUAACACAUGCAAGUCGAACGAUGAAGCUGGAGCUUGCUCCGGUGGAUUAGUGGCGAACGGGUGAGUAACACGUGAGAAAUCUGCCCUUCACUCUGGGAUAACUGCGGGAAACUGUAGCUAAUACCGGAUACUUUCCCUGGUGGGCAUCCACUAGGGAAGAAAGAAUUUCGGUGAAGGAUGAUCUCGCGGCCUAUCAGCUAGUUGGUGAGGUAAUGGCUCACCAAGGCGACGACGGGUAGCCGGCCUGAGAGGGUGACCGGCCACACUGGGACUGAGACACGGCCCAGACUCCUACGGGAGGCAGCAGUGGGGAAUAUUGCACAAUGGGCGAAAGCCUGAUGCAGCAACGCCGCGUGAGGGAUGAAGGCCUUCGGGUUGUAAACCUCUUUUAGCAGGGAAGAAGCGAAAGUGACGGUACCUGCAGAAAAAGCACCGGCUAACUACGUGCCAGCCGCCGCCGUAA
Molecule: ribosomal RNA, 484 nt
Filed under: uncultured bacterium
Lineage: Bacteria
Description: partial 16S ribosomal RNA
Rfam family: Bacterial small subunit ribosomal RNA
Source: RNAcentral